Long non-coding RNA from Peromyscus eremicus (cactus mouse), 565 nucleotides. RefSeq lists it as uncharacterized. The record is from RefSeq and is a predicted model, not a curated record. The transcript has 2 exons. NCBI's taxonomy places the organism in Eukaryota, Metazoa, Chordata, Mammalia, Rodentia, Cricetidae.
UUCACAAAACAGUCUACAGUUGGCGUGGUGUAGGAUGAGAUUAGGGGAAGCAGUUGAGAGGAAAGAGCAAGCAUUCCACAGAUGGUUCCAGAAAGGAAUCCACUCAUCUUGAACACUGGAUUGAAAACAAAAACAACUAUCUUGAAGAAUUUAAAGAUCUUUGGACAAAUAAGCAUCCAAAGAAAAAGGGAGAACUACCUAGAAAAGAUUACCAAGAAAAGGAAUAAUUUGACCUAAAGCAAUCUCUGAAGUCUCCAAAAAGAUGAUAGGAUCCCACAAUGACGAUUCCGUCAGGAUGAUGAUAAUGCCACUAAGCUGACAAACACCACCCAAAGAUCAGCUUUGGACUACAAACUGCUCAGGACAGAUCCAGCCUCACAGACUACUCUAGCCAGGACUUGAGACAAGCCCUGCACCUUCCCAUUAUGCAGAGACUGGACAACAAAUGAUACAGCUAACUCUCCCAGGACUUGACAAUUAACCCAAUUUUUUCUUUUCAGGAUCCCCUAAAGAUGCCCCCAGACAAUAGGAAGUAAUUUUAAGAAUACAAUACCCACAUUCCCAA